Long non-coding RNA from Cygnus atratus (black swan), 966 nucleotides. RefSeq lists it as uncharacterized. NCBI's taxonomy places the organism in Eukaryota, Metazoa, Chordata, Aves, Anseriformes, Anatidae. The record is from RefSeq and is a predicted model, not a curated record. The transcript has 4 exons.
UUCCUGAUCUGGCUUACCACAGCUGUACAAAUACUACGAAGAGGGGACAGGACCAACUUUAGCUGCUCUCAGCUAAAACAGAGGGAUCGGUAUGCUGCCAACAUCCACCUCGUCAUUGUAAACACACAAAGCCCAAAAAAGAAACUAAUCAAAUAUUUCCUAAGGUGACUUACUUAUUUCCAAGAGAACACAAAUCACCUGGUGCCACUGACAGACAGACAGAGGAAAACAUUCUUCCAGUUUUGUCCAGAAGGAAGCAGCUGGGACAGCAUUGCAAGGAGUCUUCCAAAGUGUGCAAAGUUUUUGAUGAGUUGAGAAAUGAGAAUAACAGAACUGCUGAAACGAAGCUAAAUCAAGAGUUACAAAUUACACUGCUAAAGAAGAAAUCUCCCAAACUGGAAAAGAAUGUUGAAGCUAGAAAUGGUCUUUUUAAAAUUUCUCUAAAAGCUACAUCAGGUACAGACAAUAUAAAUACUUAGGAGUCUCAGUAUUGUUGAUCAUCCUGGCCUUUUGCAUGAAGAUAAGAAUUUUUGCUGCUCUUUUAUCUUCCAUUUCUGUAACAAACUUGCAAAUUAACUUUUCAGAGUGGCUGGUAUUACUGCAACUGAAAGCUUAUACUGGUAUCAUGAAACAUGAAUUUCUCAAUUUGAACCAAUGCACUUAGAAUACUGAAGUUCAGAACAUGAGAAAGUUUAUUGAUUCUGUGAUACAACUAAGUUGCAAAUGUUUUUCAGUUUAAGAUCUUCCAUGUACAAGCAGUAGUAUGUACAAGCAACAAAACCGAACACGAAAAAAUAAACUAAGCUUCUAAGGAAACAAUACAAUAAGCUUAUUUGAACUCAGAAGUUUAUUCGUAUUCUUGGUAUGUUGAAUAAAACUGUUUUCAGUUUCAUUUUACGAAAGACUUUGUAGCCCACAAUGAGUGGGCUAUCUUACACUGUCAAUAACUGCUUAUAUAAAUAAAUA